RNAcentral lists this ribosomal RNA (307 nucleotides) under Burkholderia sp. DV13. RNAcentral describes it as "bacterial SSU rRNA". It matches the Rfam family "Bacterial small subunit ribosomal RNA", at positions 45 to 353 of the family's 1533-position model. The record is from RNAcentral. Lineage: Bacteria; Pseudomonadati; Pseudomonadota; Betaproteobacteria; Burkholderiales; Burkholderiaceae.
AUGCCUUACACAUGCAAGUCGGACGGCAGCGCGGGGGCAACCCUGGCGGCGAGUGGCGAACGGGUGAGUAAUACAUCGGAACGUGUCCUGGAGUGGGGGAUAGCCCGGCGAAAGCCGGAUUAAUACCGCAUACGCUCUAUGGAGGAAAGCGGGGGAUCUUCGGACCUCGCGCUCAAGGGGCGGCCGAUGGCAGAUUAGCUAGUUGGUGGGGUAAAGGCCUACCAAGGCGACGAUCUGUAGCUGGUCUGAGAGGACGACCAGCCACACUGGGACUGAGACACGGCCCAGACUCCUACGGGAGGCAGCA